UACGUAGGGUGCGAGCGUUGUCCGGAAUUAUUGGGCGUAAAGAGCUCGUAGGCGGUUUGUCGCGUCUGCUGUGAAAUUUCGGGGCUCAACCCCGAACUUGCAGUGGGUACGGGCAGACUAGAGUGUGGUAGGGGAGACUGGAAUUCCUGGUGUAGCGGUGAAAUGCGCAGAUAUCAGGAGGAACACCGAUGGCGAAGGCAGGUCUCUGGGCCACUACUGACGCUGAGAAGCGAAAGCAUGGGGAGCGAACAGG
RNAcentral lists this ribosomal RNA (253 nucleotides) under uncultured bacterium. Its description in RNAcentral is "partial 16S ribosomal RNA". It matches the Rfam family "Bacterial small subunit ribosomal RNA", at positions 524 to 776 of the family's 1533-position model. The record is from RNAcentral.